This is a long non-coding RNA of Stegodyphus dumicola, 313 nucleotides long. Lineage: Eukaryota; Metazoa; Arthropoda; Arachnida; Araneae; Eresidae. The record is from RefSeq and is a predicted model, not a curated record.
GAAAUUGCUGUGUCGAACUUACAGUAUCCCUUUUUCGAACUGGAUAGACCUCAGUACCUGAAUUUUGGAGCCAUUGGUGCUGUUAUUGGUCACGAAUUUGAGCAUGGACUUCAUGGCAGAAGUCAAUAUUAUGUUAAGAGUGGCGAGAAGUUUUUCUGGUGGAGAAAUGAAACACAAGCAAAUUUGAGAAUCAGAUACAAGUGCUUCAUUGACCAAUAUAAUAAUUACAGUAUUAAUGGAAAAAAGGUAAAUGGCACAAGCUCGCUAGAUGACAAUCUGUCUGAUAAUGGAGGUUUGAGAGCAGCGUACCUGG